Molecule: ribosomal RNA, 253 nt
Filed under: uncultured bacterium
Lineage: Bacteria
Description: partial 16S ribosomal RNA
Rfam family: Bacterial small subunit ribosomal RNA
Source: RNAcentral
UACGUAGGGUGCAAGUGUUAAUCGGAAUUACUGGGCGUAAAGCGUGCGCAGGCGGUUGUGCAAGACCGAUGUGAAAUCCCCGGGCUUAACCUGGGAAUGGCAUUGGUGACUGCACGGCUAGAGUGUGUCAGAGGGGGGUAGAAUUCCACGUGUAGCAGUGAAAUGCGUAGAGAUGUGGAGGAAUACCGAUGGCGAAGGCAGCCCCCUGGGAUAACACUGACGCUCAUGCACGAAAGCGUGGGGAGCAAACAGG